CUGUCCUAAAAGACUUGGCAGCAUUCGAAGCACAUAAAUUCAAAUCAUUGGAACCUAAGCCGAAGUAUUACGUCUUGCACCGAAAAGAAGCAGAGCCCGAUUUUAUGCAGAAUUUCUUGAGAGAAGUUGGCCCUUGUGAUACAUUGUUUUUCUUAUCAGUCGGUGAUGAUAAAGCACAAGGUAGUCUCGUGCUCUCCGGAUCUGAAACCAUCAUAUCCGAAAUUGCAGAAAAGGUGCUCGCACUACUUAAUGCUAAAGGUGUGGCUAAGAAAAACGUACUUAACGCCAAAGCAAGUAAUAUGAAAGGAAAAGCUCAAGUUAUAAAAUUGUUAAAGGACUACUUUCACUGAACUUAAAAAUGUUUUAUUAUAGCAACAAUGUACAUGUCGUAGGUCUUGAAUAAAUUAUUUAAACAUU
This is a long non-coding RNA of Photinus pyralis (common eastern firefly), 417 nucleotides long. RefSeq lists it as uncharacterized. NCBI's taxonomy places the organism in Eukaryota, Metazoa, Arthropoda, Insecta, Coleoptera, Lampyridae. The transcript is spliced from 2 exons. The record is from RefSeq and is a predicted model, not a curated record.